Plutella xylostella (diamondback moth) is the source of this 304-nucleotide non-coding RNA. The record is from RefSeq and is a predicted model, not a curated record. Lineage: Eukaryota; Metazoa; Arthropoda; Insecta; Lepidoptera; Plutellidae.
ACACCACUUUACCAUGUAUUUAUUGACUAUACAAAAGGUUUCGACAGUAUCUACCAUCAAGCAAUACUUUCCGCCCUUAACACCACAAAAUUCAUCCAACCUACAUCGAACUCGUUGGUACUAUCUACAUAAACUGCUCAGCCAACGUGAAAUUGGAAAAACCUGGUACUGGUCCAACGUUUCCGAUUGAAAAGGGUGUCAUACAAGGCGACCCUCGCUGUACACGCUUUACAAUUUUCCUCAAAGAGGUCUUCAAGAAGUUGACACAGUCCUGGGAGGACAAGGACAUCAAUUUCGGAAGUAA